Molecule: RNA transcript, 4841 nt
Organism: Sphaerodactylus townsendi
Lineage: Eukaryota; Metazoa; Chordata; Lepidosauria; Squamata; Sphaerodactylidae
Gene: TBX1
Gene name: T-box transcription factor 1
Exons: 9
Source: RefSeq, a predicted model, not a curated record
GCAGUCGCGGGGAAGCGUCCCGCGCCGCUGCGCCCUCCCGCCGGGGGCCCCGCCUGCCCUCCCGCCCGCCCGCCCGCCCGCCCGCCGUGGCGCGCUGAGCUGCGGGCUGGGGCCGGCCGGGCCGGGCUGUGCUCUAUGGACGAGGGCAGCCCGCUGUCGCCCAAGGCCAGCGCCUUCAGGAUCGCCUCUCUCAUUGCAGCCGCCGGUCAGCCGGACCGGGAGCCGCAGCAGCAGCCCGGGGGGCCCUUCGCGGCGCUGGACGCCCAGCUGAGCGCCCACGGGGGUCUGCCCAAGCCCUACAGCCCCGCCGCCCUCGCCGCCGCUGCCCGCAGGAGGAUGCAUUUCAGCGCCGUCACCAGGGACAUGGAAGCCUUCGCGGCCAACAGCCUGAGCAGCCUCAACGCCUCGGCCGCCUACCCGCACCUGGCGCCCCCCUCGCCCGCCCAGCCCGCCGCCGCCGCCGCCUACGGCCACCAUGAGCCCCCCCAGCCGCAGCCCCACUACGAGCCCUGCGCCGCCCAGCAGCAGCAGCACCAGCAGGCGCACCAGCAGCAGCAGCAGCAGCAGCAGCCUCCUUCGCAGCAGCAGCAGCAGCACGGCUACCCCUUCGCCGGCUCCGGCUCCAACCCUCCUCCGGCGCCCGGCUCCGAGACCCCCGAAGGGGCGGGGGGCGGCAGCUCGGCGCCUUCUUCGGCCAAGGCGGCGGUGAAGAAGAACGCCAAGGUGGCCAACGUGAGCGUGCAGCUGGAGAUGAAGGCGCUCUGGGACGAGUUCAACCAGCUGGGCACCGAGAUGAUCGUCACCAAGGCCGGCAGGCGCAUGUUCCCCACUUUCCAGGUGAAAAUCUUUGGGAUGGACCCCAUGGCUGACUAUAUGCUUUUAAUGGACUUUGUACCUGUGGAUGACAAACGAUACCGGUAUGCAUUUCACAGUUCCUCCUGGCUAGUAGCUGGCAAGGCCGACCCAGCGACUCCUGGGAGAGUCCAUUACCACCCAGAUUCUCCAGCCCGGGGAGCUCAGUGGAUGAAGCAGAUUGUCUCCUUUGAUAAACUUAAGCUGACCAACAAUUUAUUGGAUGACAACGGACAUAUCAUUUUGAACUCCAUGCACAGAUACCAGCCUCGUUUCCACGUGGUCUACGUGGACCCUAGGAAAGACAGCGAGAAGUAUGCCGAAGAGAACUUUAAGACCUUUGUCUUUGAGGAGACCCGCUUCACGGCAGUCACGGCCUACCAGAACCACAGGAUUACCCAGCUCAAGAUUGCCAGCAAUCCUUUUGCGAAAGGAUUCCGAGACUGUGAUCCAGAAGACUGGCCCAGAAAUCACCGACCUGGGGCUCUGCCUCUCAUGAGUGCUUUCGCUAGGUCCAGAAAUCCGGUAUCUUCCCCAGUGCAUCAGAAUGGAAACGAGAAAGACGCAGCUGAGACUCGGCGAGAGUAUGAACGGGAAGUAGCCAGCGGGACACCUCUGCACGCCGAUCCCGCUCACCAGCAGCUCAUGUCUCGGGUGUUGAGCCCAGCGCUGCCUGUGCCCGGUGGAGGCGGCCUGGUUCCACUCACCAGUACGGUCGGAAGCCGGCCCAGCCCUCCACACCAUGAACUGCGUCUAGAGCCACCCGCUUCGGAGACCCUUCAUCAUCAUCCCUACAAACAUCCAGUCUCAGCCUAUGACCAUUACCUGGGAGCAAAGAGCAGACCGACGCCCUACCCUUUGCCAAGCAUCCGGGGACACAGUUAUCACCACCACCAUCACCAUCACAUGAAUCCAGCAGCUGCAGCGGCAGCAGCGGCGGCAGCAGCUGCGGCCAACAUGUAUUCCACCGCGGGAGCUCCUACUGGCUAUGACUAUGGACCGAGAUAACACCACCAUCCAAAGAUUCUCUAAGCUCUGACUGGCUUUUUGCAUGGUUUGAAUUGCUCAGUAGCAUAUGUUUUUGGAGAGCACUAUCUCGCUGGAAGAACUGGCACCGUAGCCUCUGCAAUUCCCCACGGGGGCGCUUUGAUCUCUUGCACAAGUUUUACCCCUCCUCUGCCCCACCUUUCUUGGCACCCUCAGAUUCAUCAAUCAAGACUGGUUUCCUUCUUUAUCCCAGGGGAUGAGACGAUAGGUCGGCUUGACUCGACUCGGUGUGCAAUCAGAUGGACCGAGCUCAGCACCAGUGAUGGAUGGAGGUCAGGACUUCCCCUGCAGCAUUUCACACAACCUCCCACCAUGUUUGGAGGGCACUGAUCCCUCCCCUUCCAGACAUAGAAAUUGCCAGCUGCACUUUUCUUUUGCUCUUUAAAUGAAGACAUGUAUUGCUUUAUUCCCUCGCUGCUGUCAUCAUAGUAUAACCUUUACCUUUUUUUUGCAGUUCUUUACCUGUUCAAAGCGCUUGAGGAAGGCUGCUUCCAACACUGCCUGUUAUAGGUAGGACGGCUAGUCCUGCAGACGGCUCUACAAAAACCAAAACAAGCUGAUAUUUGCCGAUAGCCCGUCUGACAUUAUUGGAUUGUGUCCAAAGCUGUGCAAAAACAUUAAUCAGUUUAACAUUGGCAGAACAGGCUUAUGUGCAACAGACCUGUGCAACUAUGCACCUGGAAGGUUGAACAUCAGCCACGUAUGAGUCACCCAGCCUUUGGGAUCUCUGGCAGACCAACGCUAACCCUGAAGCAUUUAUUUGCUGGGUUUUGUUAGCAACGCUGGCCACCAGCUCACCGUAUACCAUGCUGAAAGAUGCAGUUUGUAUCUCAGCUAUUCAACGUAUCUAUGGCAUCAGGCCUGUGUUUCAAACAGGGCAGAGAGUUUGGGGCCAGCCAGCAAUGCUACCAUAACCAUCCAGUGUCUCAACCACGUAGUAUCUUCACUGAAUGCAAAAAAUGUCCAAGAAGAUCUAUAAGAUCUGUAGCAUGUAAGCCAAAGCUUCAGGAACUUGACCCUUUCUAAAUGGCACUGCAUGAGAACAGUGUAAAUGUAUGAGCGAUUUGCACAGUACUCAUGAUCCCACCACCACAGUAUUCACAUGGAUGCCCAGUUUCCUUGCAAUGCAUCUGCACAGAGGGAGCCACACUAGCUCUCAAAGAGCAGGUCAGCUGCCCACCGUCAGAGCCAUACUGGGGAAAAUGGUGCCCCCCCCCCCCACUUACCUUAGUCAACAAAGGAGGGCAGCAGCAGUCCCGGGCAGCCUGGUGGGGCUGGGCCGAAGGGUGCCUGGUGGGCCCGCAGCAGGCUGCUCCUUCAGUCUGGAGGAACAGGGCAAAGGGGCGGGCCAUGGCAGGCUCUCAGCCCGGCUGCUCUUGAAGGAGUAGCUGGCCUGGGAGCCUGCUGCAGCCCACUGGGCGCCCCGCCCCACGUGAUCUAAUGGGUGGGGCCCGGGUCAGUUGAUCCCCCAUGUUCGCCACCACAGCCCUAGCAGAUACACCACUGCCCACCGUGCAUGCAAGGCUGACUGUCUGAAAAGACCCAAGUAACAGCACUGGAAUUGUAGAUGUAAUUACCUUGCGAUGGAACAAAUGUACUAACCAAAAUCUUUCUAGUAGUAAUAAUACCACAGCAGUGUGUAUUUGAUCAUCAUGUCUUGCAAAAGCUAUUACAACCGAACAAUCCAGCAAUGUUUCCUUCCUGUUUUGCAAACAAAACACACAGAUUUUGCUGGGUUUUAACGUUUCAGAAUGUUGGUGGGGGAGCUGACGUGUGCAAUAUACAUAUAUCGUAACUCGCAUGUCCAAGAAAAGGGUUCUACUUUGAUUUUCUCUUUGAUGUGCAAAUUUUAGGUGCUCGGUGUAUAACAUAUAUGCAUAUAGGAAUACUGAAACAGGGAAGUCUCUCCUUGCUGUCUGAAAGGAUUCAGCUCAUACUUGACUGCUUUGUUUUUUGUUUGUAGCUCUGGAUUUAUUAAAGAUUAAGGUAAUCCCCUAGGCAAGCUGACCCAUGAGGCGACAUCACAUCACAACAUUUACUAGGCAGAAUAUGCUUAAGGGGUGAUUUCUAUUUCCUUCCCCAGUUGUCUACGCUUUACUCUCAGCCAGUUGGGUACUUACUUCUCUCCAGUUCCUAGUCCAAGUGUCUUAGGGACAGCCCAACUCACUAGAUGCACUGACAGUUGCUUUAGGCAGUAUUCCCAGAGUGCAGGCUUAUCAACAAGUCCCCUCAAAUAGGGAUCCCCUUCCCCAAAUUCUUGGGGCAACAAGAUCCAAAAAUACACAGGCAACAGUGUCCCUCUUGCGGUUUUCCCCAGUUGCAGCCUUUUCCCCCUCCCUUUACUCAGACGAACAGUUAUGGCUGUUACAGCUCCCUUUCCCUGUUUCACACAAAUGAAUGGACAUGUGUGAAUAGGCUGAAUCCCACCCCUGGGUAUAAGCCUUCCAGAGCCAAACUCUCUCUUUAUCAUUUUGAACUCCAGUAGCAUCUUGUAUCUCCCUUCUUCAGAUACUGAAGAUGGAUACGCUUCUAAGAAGUGACAGGAAAGGGACUGCAAUUAUAUUAUGAGGAGCCUUACAGGAAAGCAUUAACUGAGGCCCUCCCCACAUCUGAGAAGAUAAACACAACUUUUACAUUGGUCCGAAGUCAGAAAAAGUAUCAUCUGUAGAUUCAGAUUAUACCAACAUCUGUUAGCAUAGUCCUUCUUAAGUUACCAUCAGAUCUUUCGGGGUCCUGUCUAAGGGCUGAUAAACAUAGCUAACUCAUUGUCAUGAUCAAAAAUGGAGCAGUGGAGAGGGAUGUUGUUGUAUCUGAAGAAGGGAGAUACAAGAUGCUACUGGACUUUAAAAUGAUGAAGAGAGAGUUCGCUCUGGAAGGCUUAUACCCGGAAAAUCUUCCUGGUCUCUAAGGAGUUUUUGGACUCAAACCUAACUCUUCUAUUA